Molecule: ribosomal RNA, 126 nt
Filed under: Candidatus Woesearchaeota archaeon
Lineage: Archaea; Nanobdellati; Candidatus Woesearchaeota
Description: partial 23S ribosomal RNA
Rfam family: Archaeal large subunit ribosomal RNA
Source: RNAcentral
GAGUGUAAGAUCUUACGCUAUUAGGUGGAUGACUAGGUUCUAUUAGCUGAUGAAGGGUAUGACAAGCUAUAUUAUGCUCUGGCGAGCCGCAUGUAGGCUUUAAGCCAGAGAUUCCCGAAUAUGACU